GAAGAUCUGAAAGAAAGAGCAAGGUUCCUGAGAGUCGGAUGAGCAGAAGGAAGGGGAGACGUGGGGAAGGAAGGUCCAGGUCCUUGUGAGAGCUGCACCUUGGCAGGCAGGUUUUGGAGCCACAGGAGAAGGGAGCCUAGAACAGCCUCAGGCUAAGCACAUCCUCAAAAGGUUCAGGUGCAGAGCAGAGCUCUGGGAGCGUCUGUUCCUGGCAGGUCUGAGCAGAACUCAGGUGGCCUGACAUCUGGCAUCUCCUCUGUUCUGGCUGAACUGGAGACAAUGUGGCAGAGCCAAUGACCUCGAAGGUCCACUCAGGCCCAUUCCAGUCCCAGGCGAUGAUGUCAUAGUCAUCCAGAGGAUCCCCGAUGUCAUCGAAUGCCACCAUG
Long non-coding RNA from Alexandromys fortis (reed vole), 386 nucleotides. RefSeq lists it as uncharacterized. Lineage: Eukaryota; Metazoa; Chordata; Mammalia; Rodentia; Cricetidae. The transcript has 3 exons. The record is from RefSeq and is a predicted model, not a curated record.